AUCAGGAAGAGGAAAAAAUGAGCAUCUAAGAGCAUUGAGCUUGGGAACAUGGAGGAAGGCCUAAACUAGUGUGUCCCUAUCCAACUAGGGUCCAACAUAUCUUUUGGAAUUUUCCCAAUGCCUCCCAUGCCUAUUGUUCUUACGUGUUCCUUCCUCUCCCUUAUGACC
RNAcentral lists this microRNA precursor (168 nucleotides) under Triticum aestivum (bread wheat). Its description in RNAcentral is "MIR2118 microRNA precursor family". It matches the Rfam family "MIR2118 microRNA precursor family". The record is from Rfam by way of RNAcentral. Lineage: Eukaryota; Viridiplantae; Streptophyta; Magnoliopsida; Poales; Poaceae.